This is a long non-coding RNA of Rhipicephalus sanguineus (brown dog tick), 642 nucleotides long. RefSeq lists it as uncharacterized. NCBI's taxonomy places the organism in Eukaryota, Metazoa, Arthropoda, Arachnida, Ixodida, Ixodidae. The transcript is spliced from 4 exons. The record is from RefSeq and is a predicted model, not a curated record.
CUAACAGUUGCAACAGGUCUCGUACUGCCGGAGCACCACCAGCUUCCCGUGAACACAUGUGUGCCGCGCUUACAUGUUUAUCGUGUAUUGUGUGCGUUUAUUGCGUGCUUAUCGUACGCGACAUUCGUCGACUGGGCAUUUUCCGCGUGUUGGGGCGUUCUCCUGCCUUGAUCCAGUGGCGGAUGAUGGUCGUUGUUCGUUGCCACUCAACACAGCCUCACGGGACGCACAGCUUUGUGUCCGCGCUCAAAAGUGCUUUCUUGCUUCGUUCAUCGAUUACUCACGUUGAUCGAGUGAUCGAGUGUACUUCCGAAGACAAUCCGCGUCCGAGUGUUUUGGCAAGCGGCGACCGCGGUUCCACAGGAGCGGAAGCUUGAGCCUUUUGACGAGCGACUGUGCCAAACUUGGGAACCGUCGUGUUGGCACAGCGAGGAUGAUCAACAGAUACCCGAUAGGCAGCGAUGAGAGCUGUUCAUGGCACCGACACAGAGGACAGAUUGCAGUACAAGAUAGGAACAUACUUCCUGCAAGCCCGGGCAAGCCAUAAUGAGUGGUUUCAAAUACAGCAACUGUACCACCACAACAGUGCAGCACAGGAGAGCCUAUCGUCAGUGCCGCGUCGAGAAAUUAAAUAAAAAAGCA